UGAAGUCAGUCUGGGAAGGAAAGCCGGAGUGAAUGCCUUGCUGGUAUGAUGGCGGGGGCGUGAUGAUCGUGUGCGCGUGUGUAUGUGUUUAUUAUGUAUGGACGUGUGGGUGUGUGGGUGUGGGUGUGCCUGCGCUACUUUGUCCGGUUGAAAGGACAGACGGUGUAUGUCUUAAUUAGGCUUCAGGCUCGCUUACCAAUUGGAAGGUAGAGUGAAGGCACGUGAGUGAGAGUGUGCUGCGAGGGAGUGAGUGUACUGCGCUUGCUGGUGAGGGGGGGGGACGGGGUCGGAAUGGAGUGCACACAUCGCCGACUGAGGGGAAGGUGUGGGCUAAAGCUGUGUGCUGCCGUUUAGCUUCUUUUGGCUGCUGGAUGGCGCCCUGCUGGGCUCAGAUCUCAACAAGUGAGACGGUCCAAUGGCCUGGGGGGCUGACCGUAGCGCUGCGAGGGAGUGCUGCGGGUGUGCUACAUGACUGCCUGUGUCCCCUCCCGCUGAGCUCUCACCAUGUGCCGCACAGCGCUGCUGAACGCGCAGCGGUGCAGCGCGUGUAGGUGUGAUGCAGAUUGGCCUGCAGGGGGGUGGGUGGGUGGACGGUGCGUCGUGUCAUGAUGUGAUGCGAUGUGUAGAAGCUGACUCCACGAGAGUAUCUAUUUGUGUUCUGCAGGUUUUGGAUAUCUAACGGAAACCCAACCGCUGCCUUACCAGCCCUUUACCAGCUCUCCCCUUGUGGCCUCGCAUGCUCAUGUGUGGUUUCCUCUUCUAUCUCGGCUUGACUGUGCUUAGCCAGGGGUCGCUGACACGGGACUCAACAUCUCCGUUGUUGACACACCAGAGGCACCUCCCUUAUAGUGUGUCGGGUGUGGGUGCCGCAAGUUCAAGGAGGGGUUCGUGAGGGCAUCCCGAGUAGCAGUCUGAUCUAGAGCUCGCUUCUGUCCCACCUCUCGCUGGCUCCUCUCGACAGCGAAGCCAAGGCAUGGAGGCAGCGUAAGGCAGCUUAAGGAUGUAGCACCAGAAUGAAAUGGCACCCACAGGGGCUGUAAUGAUGGCAGUUGGGGUUUGCCAGUGGAGCUAAUCACCCAAGCGGCUAAAAGCGGCUACCGUUGUUCAGCAGGAAAGUGGAGCAUUGGUGGGACUGCCCGUAGGGCGGGUAGGGCCGGGUGUCGAGGUGCCGAGAUGCGUGGGCGGACUGGUAAACUCUUACGACAAAAGGUUCAAGGCAGUCCUGAGAUGCCCUUGGUUCGACAAGAACGGGGUUCUACACAUAAGGGACUACUCUUCAUCGUUUCCGCUACGAGCAACAGGAGCAGGGUAAUAUACGGCAGUACAGCUUUGUGAUGUAGCCUGGUGUACGAAGCAUCCCAUCGUGACACAUCAUGAUAAACCAAAGAGAACCAAAGUUACUUAAACCAUUUCCAUUUGCCUGUUUCAAUAAUACAGCUUUGUAUUAGGUUAUACUUGUAUCAGGUUUACACAUGAAGUGAAAUUUCUUUCUCUAUGCCAAACCCGGUGACGGCCUGCACAUACCGGUACUGCUAGGACAGCACUGCAAACUCCCACCGAGCAACCCCGCAUUGAGCCUUUAGGGCACGAUAGCUCAUUAACGCGGCCGUGCCUAUCUCCCGUUCACCUCCGCACACUAAGUCCGACCGCUUCGCCUGUCGCGACAUUUGCCAUUUGCCAUGGCCGAGGCGGAACAUGUCACCAUCCACUCCGAGACGCUCGACUUCAAUGCGGACUGUGCAGAAUUCUGCCCACUGCCGGGAUUCACGCACUUGCUGGCCCUGGGCACCUACCAGUUGCUUGAGGAAAAGCAGGAGCGUGUGGGCAGGUGCUACCUGCG
Molecule: long non-coding RNA, 1840 nt
Filed under: Volvox carteri
Lineage: Eukaryota; Viridiplantae; Chlorophyta; Chlorophyceae; Chlamydomonadales; Volvocaceae
Description: long non-coding RNA (VCAR_LNC002301)
Source: RNAcentral